RNAcentral lists this ribosomal RNA (440 nucleotides) under uncultured bacterium. RNAcentral describes it as "partial 16S ribosomal RNA". It matches the Rfam family "Bacterial small subunit ribosomal RNA", at positions 338 to 795 of the family's 1533-position model. The record is from RNAcentral.
CCUACGGGCGGCAGCAGUGAGGAAUAUUGCACAAUGGGGGAAACCCUGAUGCAGCGACGCCGCGUGAGUGAAGAAGUAAUUCGUUAUGUAAAGCUCUAUCAGCAGGGAAGAAAAUGACGGUACCUGAGUCAGAAGCCCCGGCUAACUACGUGUCAGGAGCCGCGGUAAUACGUAGGGGGCAAGCGUUAUCCGGAUUUACUGGGUGUAAAGGGAGCGUAGACGGCAGUGCAAGUCUGGAGUGAAAGGCGGGGGCUCAACCCCCGGACUGCUCUGGAAACUGUACGGCUGGAGUGCAGGAGAGGUAAGUGGAAUGCCUGGUGUAGCGGUGAAAUGCGUAGAUAUUAGGAGGAACACCAGUGGCGAAGGCGGCUUACUGGACUGUAACUGACGUUGAGGCUCGAAAGCGUGGGGAGCAAACAGGAUUAGAUACCCCUGUAGUC